AAAAUCCGUUGACUUUUAAAAUCGUGAGGGUUCAAGUCCUCUAUCCCCAA
This 50-nucleotide transfer RNA is filed under the name Ionopsidium aragonense. RNAcentral's name for it is "Cochlearia aragonensis partial tRNA-Leu". The record is from RNAcentral. Lineage: Eukaryota; Viridiplantae; Streptophyta; Magnoliopsida; Brassicales; Brassicaceae.